Molecule: unclassified non-coding RNA, 390 nt
Filed under: soil metagenome
Description: partial contains 5.8S ribosomal RNA, internal transcribed spacer 2, and large subunit ribosomal RNA
Rfam family: 5.8S ribosomal RNA (bases 1-122)
Source: RNAcentral
GAUGAAGAACGUAGCGAAAUGCGAUACUUGGUGUGAAUUGCAGAAUCCCGUGAACCAUCGAGUCUUUGAACGCAAGUUGCGCCCGAAGCCAUUAGGCCGAGGGCACGCCUGCCUGGGCGUCACACGUCGUUGCCCCCCCAUCUACUCCUUCGGGAUUGCGGGGGGUGGAUGAUGGCCUCCCGUGCGCCUCGCCGCGCGGUUGGCAUAAAUGCCAAGUCCUCGGCGACGCACGCCACGACAAUCGGUGGUUGCGAAACCUCGGUUGCCCGUCGUGUGCGGUCGUCGCGCAUCGAGGGCUCGAAAAAAUUGCCGGGUUCCGGCUCGGCUUUCAACGCGACCCCAGGUCAGGCGGGGUUACCCGCUGAAUUUAAGCAUAUCAAUAGCGGAGGA